Tribolium castaneum (red flour beetle) is the source of this 2140-nucleotide long non-coding RNA. RefSeq lists it as uncharacterized. The transcript is spliced from 3 exons. NCBI's taxonomy places the organism in Eukaryota, Metazoa, Arthropoda, Insecta, Coleoptera, Tenebrionidae. The record is from RefSeq and is a predicted model, not a curated record.
GGGUUGACACCUUGUCGUGGUGAGGGAGCUCAGUAGUUCUAUCACAGUAGAUAACGAAUGGGGGGACAACACAACACAACCUUGACCUUGAGUUUAACCCCGCCCAUUUUCCCUCUCUUUCUUUCAAGGCCAGUCGUUCUCUCUCUUACUUUUUCAAGGCCAACCCCUCCACUUCCCCCACCACUUCAAGGCCAAGGCAUUAUUAGACCUUGAUGUUUUCAAGGUCAAGGUCAUUCAUGUUACUCCCCACUUUUGCAAGGCCAACAACUCCUCACUCAUUCAAGAUGAAUCGCGCAAUUGUCCUUACUCAUUUUCCACCCCAAACUGUAUAAAAGUUAAUGUGUUGUGUUGUGUAACACAGUUCUUGUGUAUAUCUACAAUAACAAGAAAUUCUUUAAAAAUGGAACCCAUCAGAAAAAGUUCUAUUUUUAAUACUCCUGAGGAUAUCAUAGUUUGUCCAUACGACAAAAACCACGUUCUUCUUUGGUUUCGGCUCGAAAGGCACAUUUGGAAGUGCCAUCGGGCCGAUAAAGAAAAACAAAGGGCCUUACGUGAAGAGAUGAUGAAAGAAGAAGAGGAGAACUGGGAUCAUUUUAAUGAGCCCAGCUACCUCGACUUCUUAAAAUCUAAAAGGAAUCAUAAUGCCUUAAAUUAAAGAAGGCCGGGGUUCUUUCGUUAAAAUAGUGUAGAAUAAGUUUAGCUAAGUAGUAGUAGUAGUUGUAGUAAAAUGUAAAUAUUAUAUUAAUGUAUAAAAAAAAUAAAAGUUGUAAAAAAAAGCUACAUGUUUUUAUGUACACCUAUUUCAACCUACUGAUACAAGUAAGUGUGACCUGCAAGCAGAGAGUCGCUCACUGUAUCAAGACCACUCAUUCCCUCUUUAUCUUUGAUGUUUUCAUCUCACUUUUUCAAGGCCACAAUAUUGAUGCAUUUUCAUUCAAGGUUAAAAAGUGGGGGUAUAGUUAAUAUAUAGAAUUUAGUACAAGUUUGAUAGCAGUCAGUACUGAUUUAAUCCUCCGAGAAAUAAGAAUAUAAAAAAGUGCAUAUAUCUGUGUUAAUGUCUAAGAGUAUUCGCUGCUGGGUCAUGGAUGUAUUGAAUCGAAUCGCUCGAUGCGGACAGAAGCCCAUUUUAAAAGCUGGUGAGCUAGAGUUGAACACAAGAUUCCGCAUACAUUAAUAUUAGACGCACAAAGUCUCUGUUCGGAAAUUCAGUGCUUGUUGAGUUGGACAAUUAUGCAGUGUUUCUGCCGAGAAGAAUAAGUGAUUAUUUAACUGAGGAGAAAAUUGAUGAGUUAUUACGAGAUCCACGUCCACUAUAUUUAAUAUAUUUGGGAAAAGAAGAUGCUAGAAACCCGACAUCUGCACAUUGUUUUGAGUUUCAACGUGUUGAUGAUGAAAUAUUAGGUGAGUGAACAUAAUGUAAAAUGGAGGAUGAAAAGAAAUUAAAGAAAUGUAUAUUUCAUUUACAGUUAACGAGGGUGCCGAAGAGUAGGAUGAAAUUAUCGGAAAAAGACUUAUGUGUGUGAAGUAAUGUGCGUUUUGUGCUAGUGAUAGUUUCUUAAAAUAAAUGAAUAAAAAUCAUGUGUCUAGACGAUGGACAAUAUGAAAAAUGUUUAUACGAGUGUUUCGAUAAAAGACUGUUAUCAUAUAAGAACUGGGUACAUUCAUACCCAUCUCCAUGGAGUUUAGCAAAAGCGGGAUUGUUUUAUAUUCAAAUAUCUGAUUGUACCCAGUGUUUUGUUUGUGGAGUAAUAAUUUCACGAUGGGAAAAAAGUGAUGAUGCGUUUAUGGAGCAUAAAAAACAUUCUCCAAAAUGUGGAUAUGUGAAAUUGCUUUCCACAGACAAAACUACAAUUCAGAAAUUCAAAUUAGUUACUAAAAAUAGCAUUGUUGUAGUUUUAUUUUUUAUAGUAUUUAUAUUCAUAUAUUAUUUAUGUGCAUAGGUAAUGUGAUGCAGACUUGUUAACCUUGAUCAGUGUCGGGCGCGCGCCAAAGGCGAGGUAAACUAAAGGUUUCAAGAGACGUCUUGAUUUAAUUAGUUUAUAAUUAAAUAAGUGGUAGAAUAAUAUGGAGAAUUUAUAAUAGAUUUAAGGAUAUUUAAUGUACUACCUAUAAUAUUGAUGAAAUAAAGUGUUUUAAUUGA